RNAcentral lists this transfer RNA (73 nucleotides) under Ovis aries (sheep). It matches the Rfam family "tRNA". From Rfam's summary of the family: Transfer RNA (tRNA) molecules are approximately 80 nucleotides in length. Their secondary structure includes four short double-helical elements and three loops (D, anti-codon, and T loops). Lineage: Eukaryota; Metazoa; Chordata; Mammalia; Artiodactyla; Bovidae. The record is from Rfam by way of RNAcentral.
UCCCUGGUGGUCCAGGGGCUAGGACUCCACACUCUUGAUGCAGGGGACCUGGGUUCAAACCCUGGCCAGGGAA